This is a long non-coding RNA of Schistocerca gregaria, 2360 nucleotides long. RefSeq lists it as uncharacterized. The transcript is spliced from 2 exons. NCBI's taxonomy places the organism in Eukaryota, Metazoa, Arthropoda, Insecta, Orthoptera, Acrididae. The record is from RefSeq and is a predicted model, not a curated record.
AUGAUAAGAGAGAAAACAUCUCAUAAGUAGAUUUACAGUCUACCACCUAAAAUUCAGCCAUCUUACCGCAAAAAUGAUUAUUCUCAACAAACCAUAAGGACAUUGGUACUUUAUACUUCAUAUUUGGAGCAUGAGCAGGAAUAGUAGGAACAUCAAUAAGAAUACUUAUUCGUGCUGAACUUGGCCAACCCGGAUCUCUAAUUGGGGAUGACCAGAUUUAUAAUGUUAUUAUUACAGCUCACGCAUUCGUAAUAAUUUUCUUUAUAGUAAUACCUAUUAUAAUUGGUGGAUUUGGUAAUUGACUUGUUCCACUAAUAAUUGGUGCACCAGAUAUAGCAUUUCCACGAAUAAAUAAUAUAAGUUUUUGAUUACUACCACCUUCACUAACCCUUCUUCUUACAUCUUCUAUAAUAGAUAAUGGUGCUGGUACAGGAUGAACAGUUUACCCUCCUCUAGCAGGAGCUAUUGCACACGGGGGUGCAUCUGUAGAUCUAGCUAUUUUUUCACUGCACUUAGCAGGUGUAUCAUCUAUUCUUGGUGCAGUGAAUUUCAUUACAACAGCAAUUAAUAUACGAUCAGAAAGUAUAACUUUAGAUCAAACACCUUUAUUUGUAUGAUCUGUAGCUAUUACAGCAUUACUUCUCCUUCUUUCACUUCCAGUUUUAGCAGGAGCUAUUACUAUAUUAUUAACAGAUCGAAAUUUAAAUACAUCAUUCUUUGACCCUGCAGGAGGGGGUGACCCAAUUCUAUAUCAACAUCUAUUUUGAUCCUUUGGACACCCAGAAGUUUAUAUUUUAAUUGUACCGGGGUUCGGAAUUAUUUCACAUAUUGUAUGUCAAGAAAGAGGAAAAAUUGAAUCAUUUGGAACAUUAGGUAUAAUUUAUGCUAUACUAUCAAUUGGACUAAUAGGGUUUAUUGUAUGAGCACAUCAUAUAUUUACAGUAGGAAUGGAUGUUGACACACGAGCAUAUUUUACAUCAGCAACAAUAAUUAUUGCUGUACCUACAGGAAUUAAGGUAUUUAGAUGAUUAGCUACAUUAUAUGGAACUAAAUUCAAGUUCAAUCCACCAUUAUUAUGAGCUCUAGGAUUUAUUUUCCUAUUUACAAUUGGUGGAUUAACAGGAUUAGUAUUAGCAAAUUCAUCACUUGAUAUUGUAUUACAUGAUACAUAUUAUGUAGUAGCCCACUUUCAUUAUGUAUUAUCUAUAGGAGCAGUAUUUGCAAUUAUAGGAGGUGUCAUUCAAUGAUAUCCACUAUUUACAGGAUUAACUAUAAAUAAUACAUGAUUAAAAAUCCAAUUUACAAUUAUAUUCAUUGGAGUAAAUUUAACAUUCUUUCCUCAACACUUCCUAGGAUUAGCAGGAAUACCUCGACGAUACUCUGACUACCCAGACGCAUAUACAUCAUGAAACGUAGUAUCAAGAAUUGGGUCUACAACUUCUAUUGUAGGAAUCAUUAUAUUCAUUGUAAUUAUAUGAGAAAGAAUGAUUACAAACCGAGCAAUUAUAUUUAGAGCAAACAUAAGAAGAUCAACAGAAUGACUACAAAAUAACCCUCCUGCAGAACAUAGUUACUCAGAAUUACCAUUAAUCUCUAGAUUCUAAUAUGGCAGAUUAGUGCAGUAGAUUUAAGCUCUACAAAUAAAAGUUUGACCUUUUAUUAGAAAAUAUUUAUUAAUGGCAACAUGAUCAAAUUUAUCUCUUCAAGAUGGAGCUUCACCAUUAAUGGAGCAAUUAUCAUUCUUUCAUGUUCAUACUAUGGUCGUAUUAUUAUUAAUUACAGUAAUUGUAGGUUAUGCCCUAAGUUAUAUCUUAUUUAUUGCCUAUACUAAACGUAAUAUACUUCAUGGACAUUUAAUUGAAACAAUCUGAACAGCUUUACCAGCAAUUACAUUAAUUUUUAUUGCCCUUCCAUCAUUACGACUAUUAUAUUUACUUGAUGAUUCAGUAGAUGCAAUAAUUACAAUUAAAACCAUUGGACGACAAUGAUAUUGAAGAUAUGAAUAUUCAGACUUCAUAGACGUAGAAUUUGACACUUAUAUAACACCAGAACAAGACCUAGAAAAUGAUGGAUUCCGACUACUAGAUGUAGAUAACCGAACAAUCCUACCAAUAAAUACAGAAGUACGAGUAUUAACAAGAGCAUCAGAUGUUCUUCACUCAUGAGCAGUUCCUGCAUUAGGGGUUAAAAUUGAUGCAACGCCAGGUCGGUUAAAUCAAGGAACAUUCACAAUAAAUCGACCUGGAUUAUUCUUUGGACAAUGCUCAGAAAUCUGUGGAGCAAACCACAGAUUUAUACCAAUUGUAAUUGAAAGAACUUCAGUAAAUUUAUUUAUUAAGUGAUUAUCUAAGAUAAUUUAA